UGGAUGAGUGGCGAACGGGUGAGUAACACGUGGGUAAUCUGCCUUGUACUCUGGGAUAAGCCCGGGAAACUGGGUCUAAUACCGGAUAGGACCAUUCCUCGCAUGGGGGGUGGUGGAAAGCUCCGGCGGUAUGAGUUGAGCCCGCGGCCUAUCAGCUUGUUGGUGGGGUGAUGGCCUACCAAGGCGGUGACGGGUAGCCGGCCUGAGAGGGUGACCGGCCACACUGGGACUGAGACACGGCCCAGACUCCUACGGGAGGCAGCAGUGGGGAAUAUUGCACAAUGGGCGCAAGCCUGAUGCAGCGACGCCGCGUGAGGGAUGACGGCCUUCGGGUUGUAAACCUCUUUCGCCAGGGACGAAGGGUGAUACUGACGGUACCUGGAGAAGAAGCACCGGCUAACUACGUGCCAGCAGCCGCGGUAAUACGUAGGGUGCAAGCGUUGUCCGGAAUUAUUGGGCGUAAAGAGCUCGUAGGCGGUGUGUCGCGUCUGCCGUGGAAACCUACAGCUUAACUGUGGGCGUGCGGUGGAUACGGGCAUCACUUGAGUUCGGCAGGGGAGACUGGAAUUCCUGGUGUAGCGGUGGAAUGCGCAGAUAUCAGGAGGAACACCGGUGGCGAAGGCGGGUCUCUGGGCCGAUACUGACGCUGAGGAGCGAAAGCGUGGGGAGCGAACAGGAUUAGAUACCCUGGUAGUCCACGCUGUAAACGUU
This 711-nucleotide ribosomal RNA is filed under the name Prauserella sp. KLBMP 1294. Its description in RNAcentral is "bacterial SSU rRNA". It matches the Rfam family "Bacterial small subunit ribosomal RNA", at positions 88 to 810 of the family's 1533-position model. Lineage: Bacteria; Bacillati; Actinomycetota; Actinomycetes; Pseudonocardiales; Pseudonocardiaceae. The record is from RNAcentral.